CCCACAGCUUGCUGCUGUCAGUGCAGCCAGUGCCUGGAGAGGGGGAGGUAGGGCUGGGGAGCCUUCCUGCAGCAUCUGCACGAAAUCAGACUUAUUAUUAUUAAGGCCAUAGAACUCUGGAUGCAUUAAGUUAAUCAGCUUGUCCUGCACUGACAGAUUUCUUCAUUUCAUCUUUGAAAUGUGAUUCCUCAUUUCUGCUCCAAGAAGUCCAUUAUAAAGGUCUCCUACGGCUUUCUGCCAUCUCGUCUCUUUUGUGAAAGGAACAGCACUUGAGGACCACUGCUGAUGGCAGGCAUGACAGUGUGCAAGGAGGGGAUGUGUUAUUGCCCAGAGAGCUAGCGGGACCUAACGUGAUGUUAAUGGCCUUGGAGCAGUUUUUCUGAAGAGUGGACUCCUACAGAGCAGCAUAUUUGUGUAUGUACCUGCCUACCUACAUAGAAAAAUGAUACCAUUCUCAUGAAAAUGCCGCUGGACACUGUGGUCAGAUGCAUCUUCCCAAGAUCGAUAGAUGUGCACAUACGAGAGAGCAUCAUGCUGCCAGUCACUUGUACAUGGAACGCUUCGGAGCGCUUGCUUCAGCUCCAACUGGAUUAGGACCACUCAACAAGCAUGGGGUAGGGAGGAUCCUUGUGCUUUGAUUUUUUUUUCCCAGGCAGGAGAAGUGUUAAAUAUGCUUCAUUUUUUCCUCUCUCCCUCUUUUGGGAAACGCCUGACUGAAUUUGUUCCUUCUACUGUCUUCUUCCUACAUAUUCUUUGCUGACACUGAGUCCGAGGUGUACUGGCUGCUUAAAGAAGAUGGAAGGUAGGGAAAACAUUUUAUUUUUAUCCAACAUGUCGGAGGAAAGAUGCUGACAUUUUGGAGACGUCAAACUCUAAUGAGUAUGAUUGUUCUGCAAAUAAAAGACUGGAAGUGCUUUAUUAAAGAGACUAUCAGAUUGGGAAUUCAAAUGGAGAAAAAGGAAGAAUCACCAGCUAGACCCUUGGAGAAGUUUGACUGAAAACUCAGAGUUGAGGCUUUGUACACUUAUUGAACCCUAAGGGCAGAGUUUCUUAGAUCAUGAAGUCUCGCGCUGAUCAGAAAUGUGCUACACGUUCAUGGGAGCCAUCAGUGCAAACACAAAGGCAUAGCUAUAUCUGUGCUCCUUCCUUUACACCACCAGUUGUAGCCACUGGGGAAACUAACCUUUCAACGCCCUCAGAACAUUCCUUGACAGUGCUUUGGGAUGUAACUCCUGUACCUGUAAUCUCAGGGAUUCAUCCACCCUCCUCCCAGCAGUUGGCUAACCGCGAUGCGGCAUGUUUCACGUAGCUGCUCAGUGUCAUGAGGAUUCCUGAAAAGCCCGUUGUGGGGAAUAGAAUUAAAUGAUUUAGCCUCUUUUGAUAACAUUGUCCUCGUUUUUGAAGUGUAUUUCUACACUGAAGGCAUGACAGUGCCCAAGUGUUCUGGUACUCCAGGUCAAAUUUAAUCAGUCUGUAGGUACCCAACUGCAGUUGAUCUGAGGUGUGCAAGUGACAGGCAGAACUUACAACAUUUAUCAGUUUUAGCUGAAUUAAGAUACCAGAUAACCUAAAAUGUACUAGUUUGAUAUUUUAAAUCUUCCAAUUCGUCUCCUUAUUCCACUUAAAGCUGCUGUUUAAAAUACAAACCCCAUAAGCCACCAUUCAGCAGAAUGAAUACACAAGCUAUCCCUGGUUUUAUUUUACAUGCUUAAGGGGAGAUUUUCAAGAACAUGAAAGUUAGGCAGGCAAUCUUACCCCCCUGAAGGCAAAUUGGCCUUUCAGAAGAUCUUCCUUCAACACUGUGUGUUGUUUAUAUCAAGACUUGUUUACAGACAACAUCUCGUAUCCCACAAUAUUA
Molecule: long non-coding RNA, 1858 nt
Organism: Centrocercus urophasianus (Greater sage-grouse)
Lineage: Eukaryota; Metazoa; Chordata; Aves; Galliformes; Phasianidae
Exons: 8
Source: RefSeq, a predicted model, not a curated record